UCUAUCUCAUGUGGUUGACUUCUUUUAUUGACACAGCUUAUAUGUUAUACAGGUAGGGACAUGCACAGGAGUAAAUAGUAAUACGUACAGACAAUGCAAGACACACACAACAAAAAACGGUAAGGUGUGCCUUGUGUCCUGAUUCUUUUAUAUUGAGGAUGAAAACAAACAAAAACUGGUUGUUAAGAGAUAUAUUCUAAAAUACUUCUUCAGUAGAGAAUCAGAGAAGAGAAACACAGAAUUUCUUGCUAGCAAGGGCAGCCUCCAGAACUGAGACUCGCACUGAGGACUGCCCUGGUCUUUAUUUAUAAACUCCAGUGAGCGUUUGUUCCUUACAUUGGUGUGUGUGUGUGUGUGUGUGUGUGUGUGUGUGUGUGUCAGAGUGUGACCCCAUAAAUGACUUCCCUUAACCUGCUGGUCUGGAAAGUCCAACAGUUCAUCUAUAUGUAAAAAGGCACUUAGACUAAAACUGACAUAGCUACGUUAAUCCUACCGUAAAACAAUAAGACAAGGUACGACCUCUCCCAUGCUCGUAGGAUGUGGGGGUGAAUGCCAGAACACCCUGGAAUGUUACAGACCUCCUAGGAUGAGACAUUCUUUCAAUAUGCCACCAGCUAUAUACUUCUAAACACAAAUGAUUACAUGCAGUAUUCUACCAUAUGCAAACUUAUAUCAUUAAAAGAUUAUACUGACUACGAAGUACAAUUUUCCAUUGACACUGGUCCAGAUGAGUUCAGUCAAACAAUGAUUUUAUUGAACACACGCAUGGGGAGCAUCAUCAGCGUAGAUCUCCGCUAAAAAGCUUCAAAAUGGUUUUGAUAUGUCAGGGUUUAGCCCCUUCUUGCGUCAGCAAAGCAGAUAAUAUGCAUCAGUUACAGUUAAUGACAGUUAGACAAGUUUCCAUUAUCUGCAACCUUUUUACCAUACAUGGCUGUUUGUUUCAACCGUCUCACCCUCCAGAUGUUUCUCGUUGACUUGUUCUUUUCAUGCUUAUCUUUAACACGUCCUGCAUCAACAGUUGCUAUGCAAGCACAAAUGCAGUUACAAGCUAAAUGUAUCUCUCACUUCUGACCUAGAACUUAUUUGUGUCUGUAAGCGUGCUUGCAUUGGCCUUCUUGCGCUCUAAGUCACCUUACACAAUAUAUCGUCUGGACAUUCACACCAGACGAAGCUUAGGACCUUAAGAGGACUGAGCGCCAACUCUUUAUGAGCGCAUUUUAAAUUUAUGUAUAAAAAUAAUUACAACUCCACAUUUAAUAAAAGUUUUAAUAAAGUGGCACUAAUAAAAGCCAUGUAAGCAAUGAUAUAUUUUCUUUUAUUUCCACACUUGACAUAAACACAUACAAGCCAAGUGGCGAUCAUAUAUACAUAAACCCUAGAACGAUCACAAUCAACGUCGCAAUAAGCCCUCCCACGGCGACAGUAGCUUUUGAACAGCCACUGAGCUCUUUUAUCGUACUCUUGUACUCUUCCAUCGCAUUUUUCAGCCCGUCAACUGCAAAUUAAAAGAAAAACAAAAGUGUUAGGACAUAUGUAACACACUUUGAAAAAAAAAAAAAAACUGCUAACAUUGUUGUGCCCUUACUGUGUGGUGAUAUGUCUAUCAAGUGAACACUGGUGUUGAUGGGUUCCAAGAACUGUAAAGUAGGCAAGGCUAUAGAGUAGAGCACAUGACAUAUCAUUAUCAUUUUUUUACAAUAGCGACAAACAUCCGCGGACUCUUGAGCUAUGUUCACGAACUACUGUACAUACACUCGGUGGUAGAAGUUUCGCUU
Molecule: long non-coding RNA, 1775 nt
Organism: Astatotilapia calliptera (eastern happy)
Lineage: Eukaryota; Metazoa; Chordata; Actinopteri; Cichliformes; Cichlidae
Source: Ensembl